This 641-nucleotide ribosomal RNA is filed under the name Streptomyces sp. KLBMP 1174. Its description in RNAcentral is "bacterial SSU rRNA". It matches the Rfam family "Bacterial small subunit ribosomal RNA", at positions 102 to 757 of the family's 1533-position model. The record is from RNAcentral. Lineage: Bacteria; Bacillati; Actinomycetota; Actinomycetes; Kitasatosporales; Streptomycetaceae.
ACGGGUGAGUAACACGUGGGCAAUCUGCCCUGCACUCUGGGACAAGCCCUGGAAACGGGGUCUAAUACCGGAUAUGACCAUCUUGGGCAUCCUUGAUGGUGUAAAGCUCCGGCGGUGCAGGAUGAGCCCGCGGCCUAUCAGCUUGUUGGUGAGGUAACGGCUCACCAAGGCGACGACGGGUAGCCGGCCUGAGAGGGCGACCGGCCACACUGGGACUGAGACACGGCCCAGACUCCUACGGGAGGCAGCAGUGGGGAAUAUUGCACAAUGGGCGAAAGCCUGAUGCAGCGACGCCGCGUGAGGGAUGACGGCCUUCGGGUUGUAAACCUCUUUCAGCAGGGAAGAAGCGAAAGUGACGGUACCUGCAGAAGAAGCGCCGGCUAACUACGUGCCAGCAGCCGCGGUAAUACGUAGGGCGCGAGCGUUGUCCGGAAUUAUUGGGCGUAAAGAGCUCGUAGGCGGCUUGUCACGUCGGUUGUGAAAGCCCGGGGCUUAACCCCGGGUCUGCAGUCGAUACGGGCAGGCUAGAGUUCGGUAGGGGAGAUCGGAAUUCCUGGUGUAGCGGUGAAAUGCGCAGAUAUCAGGAGGAACACCGGUGGCGAAGGCGGAUCUCUGGGCCGAUACUGACGCUGAGGAGCGAA